GUUGAUCCUGCCGGAGGGUAUCGCUAUUGGGAUUCGACUAAGCCAUGCAAGUCUUUGGAAGUUUACUUCCAAGGCGAACUGCUGAGUAACACGUAGUUAACUUGCCCUUAGGUCAAGAAUAACCUCGGGAAACUGAGAAUAAUACUUGAUAUGAAAUUUGUUCUGGAAUGACUUUUUUCUUAAAGCUUCGGCGCCUAAGGAUAGGACUGCGGUGGAUUAGGUUGAUGUUAGGGUAAAAGCCUAACAUGCCUACAAUCUAUAGGGGCCUUGAGAGAGGGAGCCCCCAGAUGGCUUCUGAGACACUAAGCCAGAUCCUACGGGAUGCAGCAGGCGCGAAACCUUUACAAUGCACGCAAGUGUGAUAAGGGAAUCCCAAGUGCUGGCGUACUUCGUCAGCUUUUAUGUAGUGUAAAUAGCUAUAUGAAUAAGUGGUGGGUAAUACCGUUGCCAGCCGCCGCGGUAAUAACGGAGCCACGAGUGGUACCCGGUUAUAUUGGGCUUAAAGCGUUCGUAGCCGGUUUAAUCAGUUCUCUAUGAAAUCUUAUUGAAAACAAUAAGGCGUGUGGAGAAUACUGUUAGACUUGAGAUUGGGAGGAGUUAGAGGUAUUCCUGGGGUAACGGUGGAAUGUUGUAAUCCCAGGGAGACCACCUGUGGCGGAAGCGUCUAACUAGAACAAAUCUGGCGGUGAGGAACGAAAGCUAGGGGAGCGACACGGAUUAGAUACCCGUUUAGUCCUAGCUGUUAACGAUGCUCGCUUGGUAUUGGAAAUCUUUCGAGGAUUUCCAGUGCCGUAGGGAAACCGAUAAGCGAGCCGCCUGGGGAGUACGGUCGCAAGGCUGAAACUUAAAGGAAUUGGCGGGGGAGCACCACAAGGAGUGACGUCUGCGGUUUAAUUGGAUUACACGCCGGAAACCUUACCAGAGGCGACAGCAGUGUGAUGGUCAGUCUAAAGGGCUUACCUGACGCGCUGAGAGGUGUUGCAUGGCCGACGUCAGCUCGUGCCGUGAGGCGUCCUGUUAAGUCAGGUAACGAGCGAGACCCGUGCCCUAUGUUGCUAACUUGUUCUCCGGAACAAGUGCACUCAUAGGGGAUUGCAUGCGAUAAGUGUGAUGAAAGUGCGGGCUACGUUAGGUCUGUAUGGCCCGAAUCUUCUGGGCUACACGCGGGCGGCAAUGGUACGGACAAUGAGAUGCUACUCCGAAAGGAGACGCAAAUCCCCUAAACCGUGCCUUAGUUCAGAUCGAGGAUUGCAACUCAUCCUCGUGACGCUGGAAUUCCUAGUAGUCGAAGGUUAGCAUACUUCGGCGAAUACGUCCCUGCUCCUUGCACACACCGCCCAUCAAACCACCUGAAUUGGUCUUAGAUGAGGCCAUAGUUUACUAUGGUCGAAUCCGGGGUCAGUAAGGGGGGUUAAGUUGUACC
RNAcentral lists this ribosomal RNA (1423 nucleotides) under metagenome. RNAcentral's name for it is "bacterial SSU rRNA". It matches the Rfam family "Archaeal small subunit ribosomal RNA". The record is from RNAcentral.